UAGCUUAGUUGGUAGAGCAUGGUGUUUGCAACGCCAGGGUUGUGGGUUCGAUUCCCAC
Molecule: transfer RNA, 58 nt
Filed under: Salmo salar (Atlantic salmon)
Lineage: Eukaryota; Metazoa; Chordata; Actinopteri; Salmoniformes; Salmonidae
Also listed under: 1 other name
Rfam family: tRNA
About the family: Transfer RNA (tRNA) molecules are approximately 80 nucleotides in length. Their secondary structure includes four short double-helical elements and three loops (D, anti-codon, and T loops).
Source: Rfam by way of RNAcentral